Molecule: ribosomal RNA, 498 nt
Filed under: uncultured bacterium
Lineage: Bacteria
Description: partial 16S ribosomal RNA
Rfam family: Bacterial small subunit ribosomal RNA
Source: RNAcentral
AUUGAACGCUGGCGGCAUGCCUUACACAUGCAAGUCGAACGGUAACAGGUCUUCGGAUGCUGACGGGUGGCGAACGGGUGAGUAAUACAUCGGAACGUGCCUAGUAGUGGGGGAUAACUACUCGAAAGAGUGGCUAAUACCGCAUGAGAUCUACGGAUGAAAGCAGGGGAUCGCAAGACCUUGUGCUACUAGAGCGGCCGAUGGCAGAUUAGGUAGUUGGUGGGAUAAAAGCUUACCAAGCCGACGAUCCGUAGCUGGUCUGAGAGGACGAUCAGCCACACUGGGACUGAGACACGGCCCAGACUCCUACGGGAGGCAGCAGUGGGGAAUUUUGGACAAUGGGCGCAAGCCUGAUCCAGCAAUGCCGCGUGCAGGAUGAAGGCCUUCGGGUUGUAAACUGCUUUUGUACGGAACGAAAAGCCCCGGGUUAAUACCCUGGGGUCAUGACGGUACCGUAAGAAUAAGCACCGGCUAACUACGUGCCAGCCGCCGCCGUAA